CCACUGUGGAGCAAUUCUCAAAGAAGAGCCACCCCGAGAGUACUUUGGGGAUUAUUCCUGACCUGUACAUAGGCUCAUCUUUUUUAUGGGAGUUGUGAGAACUUCAUUUGCUUGCGCAUAGUACAAGCUCAUAUUAUUGCACGGCAGGCUGAUGGCUUUCCAGUGCCUGGCUCCCCACUGACCUUUUAUGAGAGGAGGAGGAACUUUCUCAGGUGAGAGGAGUCCCCAAGCCCCUCUGACUGCAUCUGCCCAUUUGGGGAUGACACCCGUGACAGAGACGUAAUCCAAGGGGAAGUCUUUCCAUGUGAGGUUGGAAGCCAUUUGGCCCCUCCUCUUGGAGCCGUGCCCAGCUUUAAGUCACAGAUGUUCCUGUCAGAGCAUCUCCCAUUCAAAGCCAUCUAGGAUCAUACUAAACAACUGGCUCACGAUCCAGCUAUGGCUGACUUCGCCCCAAGGUACCCGGGAUGUGGACUCACCAAAGACCCAGGGAUGCAUUUGGCCAAUCAGAUGUCCCCCUCCUGGGGGAGUGUGAAUUUGAACACACAGAGAUAAUCGAGUUGCCAGCAGAGCUGCGGCUGAUGUAACAAUAGCAUCCAAGAGGCAGACUAGGAAGGGUGAGGAGUCAUAAGCAAGCUGAGGAAGUACGGAGAAGAGGACGUGAAGAUGCAUGUGGAGAAGCGGAGGAGAGCGCAGCUGGGCCGUGCUAACUGAGGAGCCCGGCUAAGGCUCCUGAGGUCCAUCUCUGGGGCGCAGCCCCUUAGGAGACACUCGAGAUGCCCAGGUCUCCACGUCUCCCAGCAGCAGACCAGAUCUGAAGUGACAGAUAGACAGGCAGGCCCAGGGUGGAGAUGUGGGGGCCAAGGCGCCUUCUUUCCUGCCCCGGAGGAUAGCUUUCCAGGAGGAGAAGAGCCACAGAGCCAAGUGGUGGGAGAAAACAGCCUGCUCAAGCCUGCACCCGAGCGUGUUACCUCACAGGAGCCACUGUGGUUGGUUUGUCUGCUUGGUUGGUUUGCAGUACCUGGGAUUGAGACCCAGGCUUUCAUACUGAGUUACAUCUCUAGCCCUUUUCUUUUGUGUUGUGAGACAAGUUCUCCCUAAAUUAUUCAGCUUCCCAGGGUACACUUGAACUUUCAAUCCUCCUGCCUCAGCCUCCCAGAGUGCUGGGAUUACAGGCGUGUAGUCCAGCUUGGGUUUUGCUGGAACUACAGUCACUCACUGAACAAUGGCGUGUCUGUCAACAACAGACCAUGCAUGCAGUGUUCACUCUGUAAGAU
Molecule: long non-coding RNA, 1274 nt
Filed under: Fukomys damarensis (Damara mole-rat)
Lineage: Eukaryota; Metazoa; Chordata; Mammalia; Rodentia; Bathyergidae
Description: lncRNA (ENSFDAG00000026500.1)
Source: RNAcentral